GCUUACACAUGCAAGUCGAGCGGGCGUACAAUACGGUCAGCGGCAGACGGGUGAGUAACGCGUGGGAACAUACCUUUUGGUUCGGAACAACACAGGAAACUUGUGCUAAUACCGGAUAAGCCCUUACGGGGAAAGAUUUAUCGCCGAAAGAUUGGCCCGCGUCUGAUUAGCUAGUUGGUGAGGUAACGGCUCACCAAGGCGACGAUCAGUAGCUGGUCUGAGAGGAUGAUCAGCCACAUUGGGACUGAGACACGGCCAAACUCCUACGGGAGGCAGCAGUGGGGAAUAUUGGGACAAUGGGCGCAAGCCUGAUCCAGCCAUGCCGCGUGAGUGAUGAAGGCCCUAGGGUUGUAAAGCUCUUUUGUGCGGGAAGAUAAUGACGGUACCGCAAGAAUAAGCCCCGGCUAACUUCGUGCCAGCAGCCGCGGUAAUACGAAGGGGGCUAGCGUUGCUCGGAAUCACUGGGCGUAAAGGGUGCGUAGAGCGGGUCUUUCAAGUCAGGAGUGAAAUCCUGGAGCUCAAUCCAGAACUGCCUUUGAUACUGAAGAUCUUGAGUUCGGGAGAGGUGAGUGGAACUGCGAGUGUA
This 586-nucleotide ribosomal RNA is filed under the name uncultured bacterium. Its description in RNAcentral is "bacterial SSU rRNA". It matches the Rfam family "Bacterial small subunit ribosomal RNA", at positions 46 to 677 of the family's 1533-position model. The record is from RNAcentral.